UCUGUUGUUAACUCUCAAGGCUUCAAGCAGGACAAAUUGCUCUGAUGAAGGAUGCUGAAUUUACAGAAACAACCUCUUUGAAGGCUUUUAAAGGUUGUGCUUAAGUAUUGUCAGAGGUGAUAUAUCUGUGAGCAUAUUUAUGCUUUCUCCCCACAUCAGCCUGCACAGAUGCCUGGCUGACAGACAAGAAGAGGAGCACCGUUGCUGAGGUUUCUCUGAAUAUUUCAGGCCUGAUCGAACUCCGAAAGCAAAUGCUCUCAGCAGUUUCCUUCAGGAGCUCUUGCAAACAACCAGGAAUGUCAGAACCAGAACGUUUCCCCAGUGACAGCUUCAUCCUUUAAACUUCGCAGAUGAGACAGCAUGCGGAGCAAUCUGUGCUGAAGCAGGAUUAGGAGUUACCAGGGUGACACUUUGUAAUUUGUAGGAUGCUGACAAUGAACCUCGGAAAAGCACAAGACCUUUGCUGGAGCUCAAGAGACCACAGAGACCCAAUUGGCAU
This 499-nucleotide long non-coding RNA is filed under the name Anas platyrhynchos platyrhynchos (common mallard). RNAcentral describes it as "lncRNA (ENSAPLG00000030916.1)". Lineage: Eukaryota; Metazoa; Chordata; Aves; Anseriformes; Anatidae. The record is from RNAcentral.